AUUGGACCAGUUAUAAAUUCACCUGAUUGUCUUAUUAUCUAGCCCACAGUUCUCCUCCUUGUCAAUAAGGAGAGCAAGAGAGGCUUAGUCAAAUGCUUUGCUCAGAUCAAGAUAAGCUAUAUGUGUAGUACUCUCAAUCUACCAGUUUAGUGAUCCCAUCAGAAAACAAAAACAAAAAACCCCCAAACAAAUGAAAUUAGUCCUGUUCUUAAUAUGUUCCAGAUUUUCCCCAGGAAUUAAGAUCAUGCUGCCUGGCCUGAUUUACAGAUUCCACUCUCUUCCCAGUUUAUGUCAGCAACAUUUCCCUAACCUCAGAUUUCCUGAAUUUGGGAUGGAGAAGAACUUUUGUUUCCCUUUCCACUUGCUGAUGCUGCUCCCUUAAUUUAGAACAAACGGUGUGUGAAGAGCUGAUCAUUUGUUCAUGGUCACAGCUGGGGUGAGUUGGGACAUCUCCUGACUCCCAGUUCAAAUC
Molecule: non-coding RNA, 472 nt
Organism: Phascolarctos cinereus (koala)
Lineage: Eukaryota; Metazoa; Chordata; Mammalia; Diprotodontia; Phascolarctidae
Source: RefSeq, a predicted model, not a curated record